AUUCUCUGUGCAUUCAAAACGUGGUCGAUUGCCGUUUAAGACCAGCCCAGACACAAUCAUUGUCACUAUUGGACAUCAAUUUGAGGAAUGGAGUGAUGGGAAAUUCAGGUCAGCAGAUGGAGAAGUAGCACUGAAAGCAAAUCUUCACAUAGAUCAAGCAUUAUUAUCCUUGGAGCUCAAGUGGUCAUUCACUAACUUGAUUGAUGACGCCUAUAAAACACAAAAGAGAAUUACCCUAUCUGAUCAGGUUUUAAUUUUAGUUAUAUUAAUCUUAGUAUACAGAAUGUUUCUGUUUAUGUGCACAAAUAAUUAAAUAAUCUAAAAAAAUUAAGUAAUAAUUAAAUUAUCUUCCUUUGGAACGUACGGCGCCGAAAAAUUUCGUUUCAUUUUUUCUAUUUUUUCUUUCUUCUUCCUGUUUUUAUUCCUUAAUUUUUUGCUGUUAUGUCAUGUAUAUAGUGUGUGGUUUUGUAAAGGAAAUGAUGUACCUUAAAACUGGGAUUUGUAAGACAUUAAGUGCUAAAGGUUGUGGCGUGUGGUUAUUUUGCUUC
Nicotiana tabacum (common tobacco) is the source of this 548-nucleotide non-coding RNA. The record is from RefSeq and is a predicted model, not a curated record. Lineage: Eukaryota; Viridiplantae; Streptophyta; Magnoliopsida; Solanales; Solanaceae.